RNAcentral lists this long non-coding RNA (1225 nucleotides) under Anas zonorhyncha (Eastern spot-billed duck). RNAcentral describes it as "lncRNA (ENSAZOG00000006538.1)". The record is from RNAcentral. Lineage: Eukaryota; Metazoa; Chordata; Aves; Anseriformes; Anatidae.
CACACAGUUUCUAGCACAGAGGAAGAAACAUGUGGCCAGAUGUGGGGGGAAAAGAUAAAGGCAAAGCAUUUCUUAGUUUUCAGAAGGGAAUUAGCUAUUUAGAGCUUUGCUUUGACUCAAAAUCUAUAUGGGAAUAUUUUUAUAUGUUUAUUUUCCUGAGAGAUCCUGGCAAUUCACACAAACAGAAAGCAAGAGGCAGUACUACAGCUAACCUGAGCAUCUGCUGGCCAACCACACAACAUCCGUCACUUGAGAAGACCACAAGGACUCAAAGCUUGCACAGCAAGUGCUGUGGAGGGUCUCCAGGUGCAGCUGAAGGGCCAAGGAACUGACCAAGCCGAGCUCCUGCAGUAACUGCCAGGGAAAUCAGGCACGUGUGCUAAUGCAUCUAGUGCCCAGACAAGCACUAGACAAAGCCCAUUACAUUACUGCUAUGGUUUGAGUAACAUUAGAUGUUUGUGCCAUUCACGUAAAAACCCUAUGAGUAGUGAAAUAGCUUGUACCUUAUAAGGUUUGCCACUUCAUUUCUUAACCUGCCAGAAACUUUUCUUGCCACAAUAAUGACAGCUCAAUGACUUAAUUCUGUUUGCUGAAAAUUUAUUUAUGAACACAAACAAAACUCUGCUUUUAGAUUAUGUCUUUUUCCAUUCCUUGUUGCUGCUAAAUUUAAGACUGACCACUUUUGCAUUAGGCAAACCCAUUUAUUCACAACUGAGAAGCAGAUAGAAAUCCAUGUAGUUACUUGCGGUCUAUUAUUCAGACAUGAGUGCAGACAAACCAGACAAGCUGUACUCCCUGGAAAAUGAAGGAUACAGAGUGGCAUAGGAAAUCUAUUUGUCUGUAAUUAGUAGCCAUUUUCCUUAAUGAAUGGCUCCUGUUUAAACUUGGCUCCACCUAUUAUGACUGGAGUAACUGGGAGCCUUGUUAUGCAAGGAAGAGUAGAUAUUACUUCUACACCAAAUAUUUUACUCUUACAGGAGGAUUUGCAUCUGAUAAGCAAUGCAUACAACUUGAUUUUUGGUCACACUUGACCUUAUUGCUUUUCCUGACUGAAAUACUAAAAGAUUUUGAACAUUUUGAACAAGAGUGAGGAACUGUUCUAGAUGGAGUUUGAGUUUAAUCACUUAAUAUAUCUUGAGAAAGUAGGAAUUCAUUGGCUAUAAUAUUUUCAGUAUUUUUUUUAAUCUGUUCUGCAAAGAGAUUCAUUGAGUUCUUCAGUGGAAAA